RNAcentral lists this ribosomal RNA (460 nucleotides) under uncultured bacterium. RNAcentral's name for it is "partial 16S ribosomal RNA". It matches the Rfam family "Bacterial small subunit ribosomal RNA", at positions 338 to 795 of the family's 1533-position model. The record is from RNAcentral.
CCUACGGGAGGCAGCAGUGAGGAAUAUUGGUCAAUGGGCGAAAGUCUGAACCAGCCAAGUAGCGUGAAGGAUGACUGCCCUAUGGGUUGUAAACUUCUUUUAUAUGGGAAUAAAACGUUCCACGUGUGGGAUUUUGUAUGUACCAUAUGAAUAAGGAUCGGCUAACUCCGUGCCAGCAGCCGCGGUAAUACGGAGGAUCCGAGCGUUAUCCGGAUUUAUUGGGUUUAAAGGGUGCGUAGGUGGAUUUUUAAGUCAGUUGUGAAAGUUUGUGGCUCAACCGUAAAAUUGCAGUUGAAACUGGCAGUCUUGAGUACAGUAGAGGCGGGCGGAAUUCGUGGUGUAGCGGUGAAAUGCUUAGAUAUCACGAAGAACCCCGAUUGCGAAGGCAGUCCACUGGACUGUAACUGACACUGAGGCUCGAAAGCGUGGGGAUCAAACAGGAUUAGAUACCCUUGUAGUC